AGCCUUAAGAUUGUAUUUAAGGUAAUGCCUGCCCAGUGCUAAUAUUGUAAAUGGCCGCAGUACCUUGACUGUGCUAAGGUAGCAUAAUCAGUUGGCUUUUAAAUGGAGUCGGGAAUGAAUGGAUUUAUAGGGUGUAGCUGUCUCUUUUGUAUUAUAUUGAAUUUAAUUAUUUAGGUGAAAAUACCUAAUUAUUGUUAAAAGACGAGAAGACCCUAGGAGUUUUUACUAGUAUCAAUCUAAAAUUGAUGAUGUUUUUGUUGGGGCGACAUAGAAAGCAUAUGGAAACCUUCUUAAUACAAUGUGCCGACUUAANNUAUGAAUAAUUAAACUACCCUAGGGAUAACAGCGUUAUUCUUUUUAGAGCUUGCGACCUCGAUGUUGGACUAGGAAUUUGGUUGGCUAGCCGCCAAGUCU
RNAcentral lists this ribosomal RNA (414 nucleotides) under Elysia cf. tomentosa 5 JV-2013. RNAcentral describes it as "partial 16S ribosomal RNA". It matches the Rfam family "Bacterial large subunit ribosomal RNA", at positions 1829 to 2572 of the family's 2925-position model. The record is from RNAcentral. Lineage: Eukaryota; Metazoa; Mollusca; Gastropoda; Plakobranchidae.